Molecule: ribosomal RNA, 407 nt
Filed under: uncultured bacterium
Lineage: Bacteria
Description: bacterial SSU rRNA
Rfam family: Bacterial small subunit ribosomal RNA
Source: RNAcentral
GUGGGGAAUAUUGCACAAUGGGGGAAACCCUGAUGCAGCGACGCCGCGUGAGCGAAGAAGUAUCUCGGUAUGUAAAGCUCUAUCAGCAGGGAAGAAGAAUGACGGUACCUGACUAAGAAGCCCCGGCUAACUACGUGCCAGCAGCCGCGGUAAUACGUAGGGGGCAAGCGUUAUCCGGAUUUACUGGGUGUAAAGGGAGCGCAGGCGGCGCGGCAAGUCUGAUGUGAAAGCCCGGGGCUCAACCCCGGGACUGCAUUGGAAACUGUCGCGCUCGAGUGUCGGAGGGGCAAGCGGAAUUCCUAGUGUAGCGGUGAAAUGCGUAGAUAUUAGGAGGAACACCGGUGGCGAAGGCGGCUUGCUGGACGACGACUGACGCUGAGGCUCGAAAGCGUGGGGAGCAAACAGGA